AUCUGAAAGGAAAUUGACAAAUCAUUACAUUUCUUUUUCCUUCAGCCAGAUUUAGGCCCAGGGUGACAUGAUUGAAGCGGCACUUUCUAACACAAAAACAGAAGGAGGCGGCACUGUUUUGAAAUUCAGGUUUCAUGGACUCUUUGUUCGACUUACUUGAAUCUUCAUGGGCUCACUAGUCGCCUCCAUUAGUCCGGCAAUUUCCACCGUCUCUCCGAAUACGGAGUAAUGAGGGAUCUUAGUUCCAACAACGCCCGCCACGCAACUCCCCGAAUGAAUACCCAUCCUCAACUUGAUACGAUAACCCGGUUUAUGUUGGACCUCGAAGGUCACCACCUAAAUCAGGUAUCAGGUACUUACAAUAAUUGAAGAUCUUGCAAAUAUUGCCUGAUACUCUACCUUGGCCAAGAGAUCAAGAGCCAUUUUAGAGAUCUCUGCAGCAUGGUGGUCAUUGACCUCGGGCACACCUGAGGCCACCAUAUAUGCAUCGCCAAUGGUUUCUACCUUGUAAACGUCAUAGUUUUCCAACCGAAUGUCGAAUAGAUUGUAGAGGGUGUUCAACAAGUCGACGAUUUGAUGAGCGGUGCUCUCCGAUGCCAAUGACGUAAAACCAACGAUAUCGCACAAGAAAAUGGAGACACUGUUGAAGCUCUCUGGUUCAGGAACCUUGCCUUUCUUCAUUUGGUGGAUGAUUUGUCGGGGAAGAAGAUCCGUCAAGAGCUUCUCGGUUUUUUUCUUCUCGCGUUUGUACGUUUCAACUUUCUCGUCAUAGAUUUCGGAAAACCUU
Molecule: long non-coding RNA, 787 nt
Organism: Tigriopus californicus
Lineage: Eukaryota; Metazoa; Arthropoda; Copepoda; Harpacticoida; Harpacticidae
Exons: 2
Source: RefSeq, a predicted model, not a curated record